CGCUUUCUCCACCCGAGAGAGCGGGAACGACAACCAAAGAAAAUAAUAAAACUGGCUUCCAAAGCCGUCCGAUCUCCCCGGUGCUCCAUCUCUCCACGUCUUUUCCCCUUCCCCUACCUCCCCCACCCCCCCCCGGUCUCCCGAUGACCACCGAGGGUUACCUCCUCGGCUCGCCGGAGCUCGGCCCCCUUCGGCGUCUCCGCCGCCCCUCGGCGCCUCCAUUCCCGUCCUCCGACUUAGAUCUAUGACCCGGCGUCCGGAUCUCCCCCAUUCCUUCUUCUACGGUGUACAUAUACGGCAGACAGGGUGAAGCCAGGCAGCAGCAGUCUUUAUAUCGGCCGCUAACAUAUGUACCUUUUUGGUCAGGUGCAUUGUGACCCGGUGCUUGGCCGGUUGGCAGCUGGUAGGCAUCCCUCUCCUCUUAGGGAGGUCCAGGGUUCAAACCCUGGUGGGGGCAUCCACCACAUCUCAAGAAAAAAGGUCAGGUGUGUCAAAAAACUCUGCACCUUGACAUGCUAGAUUGAUAUCUUUUUUUGAGGAAGUGUGUCAGACAUCUUGAUUACUCAUCUGGAUCAGUUUCCACUUCUGGACUGGAACCAUCGCAUCAUGGAGAAUAUGGAGAAUGUUUUGGCUGGAAUCAUGCUUUGAAAACAGUUGUUUUAGCUCUUCGUUUGGGUGUAUAUUUUGGCAUCAUCUUCUGCGACCUUGUUAACACAUUAAAGUGACUGUUGUUUAAGAUUGUCUGCCUGCCAUAUCUCAGAAAUUACUGUGAGCUUCAUUUUCCGUUUUCCCUCUGUAUUGCUUAGUUUUGCACAGCCAUCAUUCAACAUCUUGUCCAAAUACUUUAGACAUAUCACCAACAAGCAACUCAGUUAUUGCUUCAUGAACAAA
RNA transcript from Elaeis guineensis (African oil palm), 891 nucleotides. RefSeq lists it as uncharacterized. The record is from RefSeq and is a predicted model, not a curated record. NCBI's taxonomy places the organism in Eukaryota, Viridiplantae, Streptophyta, Magnoliopsida, Arecales, Arecaceae.